UAGAUAAAUCAUCCUUGGGGUCUUGGCAUUUCUUUUGGAGGUGACCUGGCUUGUGGGGGCUUAAUGGCCUCACAGGACACUACCUGCGGGAACCACAGCAGUCCCUGUGGAUAUGACUGUCCCCCACUCCCAGGAGAAAGUGAUAGGACAAGAGGAAAUGGCCUCAACUUGUGCCAGGGAAGAUUCAGAUUCGAAAUUAGGAAAAACUUCUUCAUGGAAAAGCUUGUGAAGCAGUGGAACAGGCUGCCAGGGAGGUGGUUGGGUCACCAUUCCUGAAGGUGUUUAAAGAUGCAUAGAUAUGGUUCUUAGGGACAUGCCAGAGUAGGUUAAUGGUUGGACUUGAUAAUCUUCAGGGUCUCUUCCAGCCUCAAUGAUUCUAUGAUUCUAUGCUCUGAUGCUGAGGUGGAAUGUUGACUCUUACCCAUCCCUGUUUAUCCAGCGGCAAAGCAAUUAAUUUUCCAAGGGACAUAGUCUAUUGAACACUUCUUUAAAUUAAGGGCACCAGAGGUAUAAUUUAGAUUAGGGUUAAGUUCCAGCUGUAGGGGAGACAUUUAAAAACAUGCAGCGCGUGUGCUAACAAACCCACUCAUCUCACCAGAAAGUGAGUAAAUCUGCCUUAUCAGUGGAGAAUUUCCUCCUAAACCUGGGGACUGUUCCAGGUUUUGCUGGGGCACGGAGCUUUUCUGUUGUGAGAGGAAGAAGGAACCGUGGCCUGAUGGCGAUGGGUGCAGUAGCUGAGGGGAGCUGAUUCCUUGGGCACUGGGUAGUGAAUGAACAAGGUCUCACAACCCAAAUGCACAGGGGUGCAGUGGAGAUCCCUGGGCAGACAGGGCAGGGGGCAUUUUCUCUGGACAUCCCUUUUAUUCCCAGGAAACCUGCACGAUGUGCUUUUCAAGUCCCAGUUCCAGAAGUACAACUAAACACGUGCUGAACUUUGGUCGUGUGAGUGUUGGCAUUAAUAAGUUACAAGCUGACCUGAGCACUCUGCAGGAGCUGAAGGCAGCCUGGGGGAAUUUCCCUGCUUCUCAGGAAGGGGCACCUCAUUACACCCCAUCCCAUUCUCAUCAGCUUCAUUAACUCAGGCAGCCUCUCCAGCUCGGAUGCCAAAACGCCUCUUGUAGUCACGUUAGUUCAGCUCUGUUCUGAUGCAACCGGCCCUCCAGCUGCCGAAAUGCCGCUGUGCGGGAACGCCAGCUUGGUGUAGGCACAGGGCCUGCAGGAGCAGAGCUGCUGUGUCCCCAUUUUCCUGGGGAAGCAGGGAGGUGUCAUGGGAGGGGCACGGAGAAGAGAGGUCAGUAACUUUGCCACCAACCCACCAAGAACUCUUUCCCCUUUUGCUGUAUUCUUUAUAGUGCAAGAUAAAGGCCUUUUGCUUUAUCUGGUUUCUUGCUUUAACUACUGCCCCAAAGUCUCUUCUUAGUUGGUGGCUUUGGGUGCAACUGCUUUGUUUCUGCAACUUGGACAUUACUGGGAAUCUUCUGUCCACUGAGCUCAGUGUGAGUCCUGCUUAUAAAGCACAAGCAUACUUUACCAGAGCUGCUGAAGCUUCACUGUGAGGUGCAAAACUCAAAGAAAGAAGUGAUGCUGUUCAGAUAUCAUGGUUUCUACUCCUUGUUUUUUGUGGGUGGUUUUUGUUUUGUUUUGUUUUUUUAAAGUAGGAAUUUUGCACUUUUCCUUAGCAAAAACUUAUUUCUGAACAAAACUUAUUUGGAGAUGUGCUUCUUGAUGGUGGGCUCUUUAGUUGUAAGCAUACAGCUGCCUCCUUACCAUCCCUGUCCCUUAUGGACACCCUUCAGCAGCCUCCUCACAGUACAUCUCCUGGUGCUCAUUCCCAGACCGUUGCUCUCCGGGCCAGGGCGCCCAGCGCUGCCAUCUCGGCAGUGGAGCACCUGUAUGCCAGGGCUCCUUCACAGACCCUGGCGCCAUCUCGCAGGACUAAUCUUUUCCCUCGGAUUGAUGAGACCGCAUCUGGAAUAUUGUGUCCAGUUCUGGGCCCCUCAGUUCAAGGCCAUGGAACUGCUGGAGAGAGUCCAGCGUAGGGCAACAAAGAUGAUUAAGGGAGUGGAGCAUCUCCCUUAUGAGGAAAGGCUGAGGGAGCUGGGUCUCUUUAGCUUGGAGGAGACUGAGGGGUGACCUCAUUAAUGUUUAUAAAUAUGUGAAGGGUGAGUGUCAUGAGGAUGGAGCCAGGCUCUUCCUGGUGACAACCAAUGAUAGGACAAGAGGUAACGGGUUCAAACUGGAGCACAGGAGGUUCCAUUUAAAUUUGAGAAGAAACUUCUUCUCAGUGGGGGUGCCAGAGCACUGGAACAGGCUGCCCAGGGGGGUUGUGGAGUCUCCUUCUCUGGAGACAUUCGAAACCCGCCUGGACACAUUCCUGUGUAACCUCAUCUAGGUGUUCCUGCUCUGGCAGGGGGAUUGGACUAGAUGAUCUUCUGAGGUCCCUUCCAAUCCCUCACAUUGUGUGAUUUCCAUGAUUUUUGUGACCUUACCUGUAUUUCUUUGCUUUACGUUGUGUUGGCCACGUUGUCUGAGCAAAACCCACCUUGCGGCUGUUUCCAUGUGUGGCGAGCAGUGCCGGUGGGGAGGUGCAAGGCAGCUGAGGGCAGGCAGGACAAGGACUGCACAAGCCGGUGUGCCACGUACAGUUCAUCCCGUCAUGAGCUAGACGUUGAACAACACGUCUAAAUCGUGCUCUGGAACAAAGUAAAGGGAUUCAUGCCGGGUACACUGUGUUACAUCAUUUCAGCAUUCGUUAACAGAAGGGCUGAGGCUUCAGCUAUCAUGUCACGUUUUUGGCAGAAACCUCUAAGUCUCAGCGACUUCCUCCAAGGAUGCUGAACCAAACGCCGUCCAGACUCGCGAGGGAACGAGCUGCAAAUGACAUCACUGGUUUGAAACAGCGCAUGGGCACAACGUGGGCGAAUGUUCCCUGAGCUGGGUGUUUUCUAAAGGUCUCUGAAGCAUGAGGCAUGACUGAAUGACUUGUAUUUUCUUUAAAUGACGAGUGGGUGAAUCCUGAAUUGUUGGGCUGCUUUUAUUUUUGUUAGAUGUGUGUGGGCUGACAACAUGACUCAGUAUUUUCUCCGCAGAUGCAAAGAUCAUGUUGCCAAUUCUGGGUAUACUUUGGGCAGUUUCAUGCUGGGAACUGGAACACUGUUUUAGUCCAGAGCUUUGCUUUUUGGCAGCCUCUCCAUUGCUCCUGGGCUGCCUCUUUGUCUGCUGAGUAUCACCUCUAGUAUUUGUUUAACCAGCCGUGUCCUGCUGGGUGAGAGCCACCAAGCCACCAUCCUCUGACUGAUGCAACUUUCUUCUAUGUCAACUGAAAACUUCCUCAUCCGUUCCAGUAACCCCGGUCUCGCCCUGAAGAGAACAAAGUCUCCUCUCCACAUAAUGCAUGUUAAGCGGCCGCACCUCCAUCUCUUAUGGGAAUACCCAACCAUGUGCUUUACCGCAGCAAUUCAGGGUUUUGCCAUUUGCAGACACCUCCUUAAAUACAACAUGUGUGUAUUUUUAUGGCCACUUUGGAUAAAGUUACCACUGCAGCUGGUAGCUGCAACUUCAAGAUAAAGCUCGCCACGUGACAACCUGAGAAACAGCAAAGUAAGGAGCAAAGAAUUGUUGAUUUUCAGACUCCAGAGUGGCUACAUAUACCAACGCUUCUUUACAAUAAACAGAAUAAUGACUUUAACUUGAACAGUUGCCCCUUAGCAGUUGUUACAUUACUUGUAAUUGUUUGCACAAAAGCUUGCAGGCUCUACCAUUAAUAUGCAUCUUCCUGGGUGUGCUUUUGAAUCAGAUUAAUAAAGGAAACCAAUAUUUUUCAUGAGAAA
Long non-coding RNA from Columba livia (rock pigeon), 3830 nucleotides. RefSeq lists it as uncharacterized. NCBI's taxonomy places the organism in Eukaryota, Metazoa, Chordata, Aves, Columbiformes, Columbidae. The transcript is spliced from 5 exons. The record is from RefSeq and is a predicted model, not a curated record.